GUGUCAGCAGCCGCGGUAAUACAGAGACCUCGAGCGUUAUCCGGAUUUACUGGGCGUAAAGGGUCCGCAGGUGGUUUUGUAAGUCUUCGGUUAAAUUCUUGAGCUCAACUCGAGAACCGCCGAGGAAACUAUAAGACUAGAGACCGGGAGAGGCAAGCGGAAUUGCCGGUGUAGUAGUAAAAUGCGUUAAUAUCGGCAAGAACACCAAAUGCGAAGGCAGCUUGCUAGAACGGUUCUGACACUCAGGGACGAAAGCGUGGGGAGCGAUACGGAUUAGAAACCCCUGUAGUCC
Molecule: ribosomal RNA, 292 nt
Filed under: uncultured bacterium
Lineage: Bacteria
Description: partial 16S ribosomal RNA
Rfam family: Bacterial small subunit ribosomal RNA
Source: RNAcentral